Amphiprion ocellaris (clown anemonefish) is the source of this 2498-nucleotide long non-coding RNA. RefSeq lists it as uncharacterized. Lineage: Eukaryota; Metazoa; Chordata; Actinopteri; Pomacentridae. The record is from RefSeq and is a predicted model, not a curated record. The transcript is spliced from 3 exons.
UCCUGCAUCUGUCUGUCUUUGCAUCUGUCAUCUGUCUCUCCCUCUUCUCUCUCUCUCCCCUCUGUCUCCCUGCUCCUCGGCUUACCUGCAGUCUGCUGAUUGCAGAAAGUGGACAUAGCUGCAAUAAUCACCUGUCGGUAAUCACCUCCUGCAAUAUAAGCUCAGCUCUAUCAUUCACUCACUGCCAGACCAUAGACUGCAGAUUCUCACGGAUUCAGCUUCUCCUUUGGAUUCCUGCCACUCCUUACAUUGCCUCCAGACUGCCAUUACCCCACCUGGACUCUCUUCAACAUUCCCCCUCUUGAUUUCUGCUGGUCCCAUCUCUGUCUUCAGCUUGUUGUCCUGCCUUGUCUCCCGCAACCGCUGGGCAAUCGCUUCUGCCUGCCCUUUUAGUCUAGUUCCACUGGGUCUUGUGAGUACAAUGUUUGUUUGCUUAGUUUAGUUUGACUGGGUUUUUUUUCCUUGGAUUUCCGUGUUGGGCUUUGUUGGGCUUUUUCAUAUUCUUGUAUUUAGUUUGGUUUAGUUUCUACCUCAGUUUAGUCUCCCUUUUCCUAUUUUCCUCCUGUCUCCCCAUGUCUGUGUCUGCGUCUGGGUUCUCUGACACCCCUGUAACAAUAUAUAGUAUUUUGUUAUUUAAAGCAUCUAAUGCACUCAAUUUUAAGCAAGCGCAAUGACGACGAUGUGUUGUUGGUAUACUACUUUUGAAUAUAUAUAAGUUUCCACAAAUGAUAAUGUCAUCAAAUUCAAGGUAAAUAUUAAUGUGUGAUUCUCUGAGUUCAAAUGAGAGACACUGCAAAGGGAGACUAGCAGUAGGUCAUACAUGUGUGACGGGAGGUUGUCUCCCUCCUGGCCGCUGUUGGGCGCCGUGCCAGCGGUGCGAGCACCGUAAAUGCUGGGCGGUACUAUGCGCCCUUUAUAUUCAGGUGUGCAGCAGUGGAGCUUUCUGUCCUCCGCUCCCUGCUUGCUUCUGUGGUAGCUGUGGUUUGGCAUGACGGUGUUGGUGGACGCAGCCGUUCUCUGGUGUAUACAGCUGUUGUGAUUGCCGUCAAGGCGUGCUGUCUGAAUAUCGUGGCUGAGUGCUGGGGUGAAUUCCCCGGGGUGAAGCGGCGAUCUGCUGGAGCCCUGCUGGGCAUAGGAUCACAGGCUGGUUCUGGUUGUGUGUGUGAGCCGUAUCCUUGUGGCUCACACCCUCCAGUUGCCAGUUAACAGCCCGGCAUAUCUGACUGCCACCAUCACUUCAAGCCGAGCUGCUGUUUUGGUUCUCUUUAAUAUUCGUCUGGUGAACUGUUGGUGGUUUUUUUUUUGUUUUGUUUGUUUGCUGCGGCUUGGAGCGGACUUCUCAGCCCAGGAGGGCUGAGUACCGUCUGCGUCCGCUCCGUGCAGAGGCUGGUUGUGUUGCUGCUGUACCAGAACCUGUACAGCUGCAAGGGCUACUUCAGUUGAUGGUGUUUUGUUUUUCUUUGAUAUUUGGAAAUUAAUUUAGGUAUUUCCUUUUGGUAUUUUGGUUUGCUUUGUUGCAUUAGUUGGUUUAAUUGGGUUUUUUUUUUUUUUGUUUUCUUUGUGAGUUUAUUCAGCCUCAUGUAUUGAUUUAAUCCAUCAUUUAUUGUUCUUUGGUUUUGUUUUCUUUUGUCCACACCAGUUAUGGUUAGUUUGGGCACGUUUUAUAAAUCUUUAUUUUCUAUUUACAGGUGCUGUGGCUUACUGCGGCAGUUAUUCCCUGGUGGUGGCGUCUUCUUCACGGUCCCCCCCUUUCUUUUGGUUUUGUGUGUGUGUGUGUGUAUUAUUUGCAGUGUCACGGGUGAUUCAUUUGAGGAUUCCUCUCCCCUUUUUGGUUAUCCUGCCGCAGGGUAAGCCCCAGCCCGGGUUUUUAUUCCUUGUUGCCCAUUCUUUCUUUUAGUUAGUAUAUGUUAACUGGUGUGUCACAUUAUUUCCUUUCUUAUAAUUUGUUAAUAAACAUUGUUAAAUUGGAACACGUCUCGCCCCCCUGUGUUAAUGGAACCUGUUGAGCCUUAAUUGGUUUAGUGACAGUGAAACACACCUGAGCUAGGAUUUCCUGGGUGCAAGUCCCAGGUGGCGUUGUUGGGACCAUAAUUGGUGUAAUUGGGUACAAACAUUCCUCGAAUCUCGCCACACAUGUGACAUCAGAGCAAAGGUAUUUUAUAUGCAUAGCUAUGUACAUGUGUUUAACUGGCUAAAGGACACGAUGAAGAGGAUGUAGGAGGUGUGCCAGAAUUGUACCAAGCUGUGACCACAAAGUUAGCUUGAAGUCCACCCAGCUCUGUGUAGUAGUAUGAUUUCACUUAUGAAUACCCAGGCAAUCGCUUCUCCUUCUUUUGUAGUGUUUUAUUCCAAGGUUGACUGAGAUGUUAUGAUAAUGAUAUGAAGAAACAAUGCUCAGUUGCUUGCAAGAUAUAGUUUAAACUGAGCUUUAGGGAAGGUUUUUACAGUGACAAGGGAUCUAUAGAAUGGCUGUUUCAAGCAAGAUUUUUUUUUUUUUA